AAUACAUAAUUGACCACUCUAGAUGAGACUUAGAGAAACCUGCAACUGACGAAGCUAAUGCAAUUUGAAAUAGAGAAAUCGCAUCUUGGCAAUUGAUCUGCCAAAGAGAAGGCAAUAGGCAAGCAUCACAGCUCAAGUAAUUUAUUUUAAGGGUGAGUCAAGUCAAUUUAUAUUUCAGAAAGACUUUCGAAACAAGUUUAACUAGAAAUAUUAGCUGCUGAAGUCAUACAACAAAAUCAAGAUGCUGACUAACUACUUACUGGCAGCAUUUAAAAAUCAUUGUACACUUGAGAGAAAACAUCUUAUGUCACUGAAAUUUUACUUGUCCCAAAUAUGCUACUCAUAUCGCAAACUCAUGCCCAUUUAUGCCAUCAGAGAUGCAGCGGCCAAGUUAUCUAUUAUCUAGUAAACACUUAUGCCAUCAGGUGACAAUUCUAACACUGCCAAUGCUUCUUCCCCAAUGAACUCGCCUUCACUUGUUCAAUGGCAGUGGCGGGCAGGUUGUGCUGCUGGUGCGGGGUCCGUGAGCUGCUGGACACUGCCCGGUGAUGUCCUGUCCCCGGCAGGUGAGGGGCCUGGCUAGCUGGUACCGCAGAAGAUGGUGAGAGGCUGAGACCUCAGAUCAGAGUGGCGAACUGGAGUGCUGACCUGAUGCCAUCGCCUGGCGGGGACUCGUUGAGGUGAAACAUUUUGUAUAUGUUUUAAAAUACUUUAUUGAAUUGGCAUGCUUUAGUUAGCCACACAAAAGUUACAUUUACACCUAGGAAAAACGUAUCGCAGGUUACUAAGGAACUGAGCGAGUGAGCAGAAGAAAGCAGACGUCAAACUACAUCCAAAAUCUGUGAUAAAGCCUUCUUUUAAACAAAUGUCCAAAUUACUGAUAAUUUUGCCGGUAAAGAUUCUGGAUUCCGGUUCUUGUAAAAAUACACGCCAGUACCAGCAAAAUGGUAGCUGUAGACUUAAACUCCUUUUAUUCAUUCAUUGAUUAACAUUUCCCCACUUUAUUUGCAGCAAUGGCAGUUUCCAGUUUUUCACCCACACGAAGAAAGCAAACUUCAGUCCAGCCAAGUCGAUCAUUAGAUUUCGCCAUCCCAAAGCUCUUCGAUUGAUUUGUAGACGCCUUCCGGGUGAGUCCAGAAUUCUCCACGGAUCAGCUUCAUCUGCAAAUCAAAAUCGCCAUUCAUGAGAACCAUCACCAAUUCACCAUCUUGCCC
Molecule: small RNA, 1214 nt
Filed under: Oryza sativa Japonica Group (Japanese rice)
Lineage: Eukaryota; Viridiplantae; Streptophyta; Magnoliopsida; Poales; Poaceae
Description: misc RNA Os05g0456100
Source: RNAcentral